AUUCUCGUGUUUGGAGUAAUGACGCAGCUAGUGAGGUAACCGAGAGGCGUCUAUUGCUGGUUGAAAACUAUUUUCAAACCCCUCUUCGGUCUGGGAUAGCCCUAGGUCGUAAAGAAUUUCUGAAAAACUAGAUAAAGC
Molecule: small nuclear RNA, 138 nt
Filed under: Cephalotus follicularis
Lineage: Eukaryota; Viridiplantae; Streptophyta; Magnoliopsida; Oxalidales; Cephalotaceae
Description: U4 spliceosomal RNA
Rfam family: U4 spliceosomal RNA
About the family: U4 small nuclear RNA (U4 snRNA) is a component of the major U2-dependent spliceosome.
Source: Rfam by way of RNAcentral